Ictalurus punctatus (channel catfish) is the source of this 3521-nucleotide long non-coding RNA. The record is from Ensembl. NCBI's taxonomy places the organism in Eukaryota, Metazoa, Chordata, Actinopteri, Siluriformes, Ictaluridae.
CACACACACACACACACACACCAAUGGUAGCAGAGCUGCCAUGCGAGGCUCUAACUUUGCCAUCGGGAGCAAUUUGGGGCUCGGUGUCUCGCCCAAGGACACUUCAGCAUGUGGAGUCACGUGGGCCGGGAAUCGAACCUCCAACUCUAUGAUUAGUGGACAACCCGCUCUACCACCUGAUCCACAGCCGCACGAUAGUGGCUCUGUUUGUCUGUAUUGUUGAAUGUUUGUACAGUUGUUUCUAUUUAUUCAUUCAUUUCUGUCGUUAUUUUCUAGUGUGUCUGUACCCAAGCUUUAGCGAUACAAAUGUUAAUAUUUGUCAUUCCAGUAAAGCAACCUUUUGACUUUGACAGUAAGAGAUGGGGGGAGGAAGAGAGAGAGAGAGAGAGAGAGAGAGAGAGAGAGAGAUUUAAAGGAGGUGUGGUGUACUCCGUCACUCAGAGGCGUGUCUCUGAACUCUAAGGAUCAAAGGAAAUGAAAUAUUUCUUUAAUCUGAGCGCGCGCGCACACACACACGCACACACUACCUGUCUCGCGCGCGGUCUCUCUCGCUCUCUCACAGACGGAUUUAUUUAUUUGAGUAUUUAUGAUUUUUAUUGGAUGUACAGUUACAGUACAGACUUUCUGAGCAGAACUCGCACAGGAGGAGCCCCACAGAGCCAGGAGAGUCCCACAGGAGGAGUCCCACAGGAGGAGUCCCAGGAGUCCGGAUCCCGGAGUACAGCAGCGGGGUUGGUAUGAGACGGUGAAGAGCGUGCGCAGGAAUUUCAGCCUUCACUGAUUUCAAGUCCUGACGAGUGUGUGAGUAUAUAACUCUCUCAGCUCCUCUUCACUCUCCACACACCACACCACUGACACAGAAACAUUCAACACAGCAUCAGGUCCUAAACCUAAAAAUGAACACGUGUGUACGUGUGUGUGUGUGUGUGUGUGUGUGUUCCUCAGUGAGUGGCACAGAUUGAACAGUAAUCAGAGUUCGGCUUACACCUGCGUAUUUACCUACAUCACACUGUAGACGCACACACACACACACACACACACACACACACACACAAGAAUGUCACACAGGGUUUGUUUUUGUUUUGUAAUUUACAACCUCUUAAAUGUGUACAAUGUAAAUGUUUUACACGAGGGGUACCGAGAAAAAAAUUCAAGUCUGGGGGAAAAAAAGAAAGACAAAAGAAGAAAGAAAGAAGAGCAGUAGUUUAAUAUACAAAGGAAAGAGGGAGUAGAGAAAGACAGGAAAGAACGAAAGAAAGAAAAGAAAGAAGAGCAGUAGUUUAAUAUAAAAAAGAAAGAGGGGGUAGAGAAAGAAAGAAAAGAAAGAAAGAAAGAAAGAAAGAAAGAAGAAAAGAAAGAAGAGCAGUAGUUUAAUAUAAACAAAGAAAGAGGGAGUAGAGAAAGAAAGAAAGAAAGAAAGAAAGAAAGAAAGAAAGAAAGAAGAAAGAAGAGCAGUAGUUUAAUAUAAAAAAGAAAGAGCGAGUAGAGAAAGACAGAAAGAACGAAAGAACUAACAGCAGGACAACAGAAAAUGACAGAGGGACAGAAUGACGGAAAGAAAAAGAGGGUAGAUGAAAGGAAAAGGAAGAAAGGGAAGAAAAUAUGUGAUAAUAAAUGUUUGAUUCUCAGCAUGUUGUAAAUCUCUCACAUCCGCUCACUUUUUUUCGUUUGCUUUCUGUUUGAAAGAAACUCCUGACGUCACUUUUUCAAGUAGCCCCGCCCCCCCCCCACUGCUCCCCCCCCACUGCUCCCCCCCCCCACUGCUCCCCCAGUAGAAACCCACGCUGUGACUCAGAAGCCGCGCCUUUAAAAAGCAUCCCAUAAAACAAGACGUGUAAACCGUGCUGGAAACUACAGAGCUCACAGUGCUGUAACACACACACACACACACACACACACACACACACACACACACACAGACAGGUAGACCACAGGGUGUGGUAAGAUACACUUCUGAUAAUAAACCCUUAUUACAGGGGCUUUAUGCUCGCUCUUUAUAAGCAACCUGUAGCUUCCCCUCCGAAAGUACUGGAACGGCAAGGCUAAUCCUUCUGUUUUGGGAUGGAAAGAUUAAUAUGAGACAAAAAGAUCAAAUUUCAUAUCCUGUAUAUAAACAAACAACUUCGAACGUGGCAACCUCGGUGGACGACCACCCACCCGACUUGUUUUUGGUGAGCAAAAAUACUGGAACAUGUGACUGCCCGGUGUUUCCUGUAGCCUCAGGUGAGCCCUGUUAGAUUGAUCGUUUGAACGGUUAAUAGCUCUGAACGUCUACUCUUGCUUUGAGCUCUGGGGUUCACCUGUGAAGAUGGCAUUUGUUGUUAAAAAGGGUAAACCAACAUGAAGACCAGAGAGCCGUCUAUGGGAGAAAAGCGAGCCAUUUCGAAGCCUUUCAGAGGGGACUGCAAGUCAGGGUUAUAAUCUUAUUAUACUGCAUGUGCUGCGUGUCUAGAACACUUGAAGAUCAUCUCUCUCUCUAUAUAUAUAUAUAUAUAUUAAAUGAACACAACAGGCCUCAUUUAUCAAGCAGGAUAUGAACGGAUUUCUUCGUAAACAGUUCGUAUAAACGUUCACGCAAGAUCUUUAGCAGGAUCUCAUGCUAGUUCUUUAGGUCAGGGAGCUAAAAGAGUACCAUUGAGAAUAUUUAUCAAUUAAAGAAGAUAAAAAUGUAUUUAUUUUUUGCUAAAUCGAGCCAACAUAGACCCAUGAAUUAAGAAAACUACAAUGAAUCAGUGGCGUAUACACGGACGACGGGCCGUAAACAGACGCCUCCGCUGACAAAAGAUCGAGCGCUCAUUUAUUAUUAUCUUGAGCUUUGAUGGAGUUUUGUGGGCGUCGCUGCAAACGCGCAUGCAAAUGAGCCGUGUAGGUCAUGUGGAGCGUCCGCCAUACAACGAGUUACGAUGGAAAACGUAACACUAUCACACACACACACACACACACACACACCGACGUCCGGGUCAUAGAAGAGUAAAAUCAACGCCUUCUGAAGCAACAUAAUUCCGUAUAUAAAGUGUGUGAGAUGUUUGCUCGUCCAAGUCAAAGUCCAAGUCUUUCACGUUAACCCGAACCCCAGGAUUUCAGCACUCCUUCUUUUCAUCACCGCUUCCGAGCCCGUCGGACCGGGCGUCCUGCAGAUCCAGUUUGCAGCUGGUUCAAUCCAGAGACUCUCACACAACACUGCACCCCUGAGCAAGAAUAAUAGCUGCUCCCUCAAACACACCUGACAGGAUUCACCUGUGACGUGGAGGGACAGAUAAGGGGGGGACUGAGAGAGAGAGAGGUGGAGAGAGAGAGAAAGAGAGAGAGAGAGGUGAAGAGAAAGAGAUAAACAAACACAGAGAGAGAGAGAGAGAGAGAGAGAGAGAGAGAGAGAGGUGACGAGAAAGAGAUAAACAACACAGAGAGAGAGAGAGAGAGAGAGAGGUGGAGAGAAAGAGAUAAACAAACACAGAGAGAGAGAGAGAGAGAGUUGAAGAGAAAGAGAUAAAAACACAGAAGGAGAGAGAAUGAGAGAAAGA